Molecule: long non-coding RNA, 802 nt
Filed under: Homo sapiens (human)
Lineage: Eukaryota; Metazoa; Chordata; Mammalia; Primates; Hominidae
Description: HSALNT0300233
Source: RNAcentral
GAAUGGAACAUCCUGGCAGACUGCAUCAGGAGAAUGAUAACAUGAGAAGCAAUGUUUAAAACAUUCCCCUAAAAACCAACUCUCAAAAAAAUUUCUUUUAAAAACAAUCCCAGAAAUGCUGAAAUAUUUGGAAGAUAUGAGCAGGAAUGAACAACUACCUUCAUCUUAUUUAAAUCUUUCAUUUCCUAAUUGUUCCUGGUCUGGCUCAUAAAGAUCUCUAGAUAAAGUUAAUUGACUUUAAAUAGGAGUGGUAAGCUCUUUUACAACUUUUAAAAAAUAUAUCUUUUACGUUCCUGGAUAACCUGUAAUUUUACAAUACUGAUCUAGAAACCAGAAGCUGCCACAAAUGAUGGUGCUAAAUCUGUGCUUGAAAUGGUGGGACAGAAAUGCAAGGUGACUUUACAAAGGAUGGAUGAUUUGAGUCUCUGUUCCUAUAUCCAUGAUUUGACUGUGCAAAAGAAGUCCUUACUACUUCUCCACCCACCAAUUCUGGUGACAGUUAGGGGGUUUGUGGCCCUAGCCUACAUCAUUCUCCCCUGCUGGAUGCUUCCUGCUCUUGAACAUCGGACUCCAGGUUCUUCAGUUUUGGGACUCGGACUGGCUCUCCUUGCUCUUCAGCUUGCAGAUGGCCUAUUGUGGGAUCUUGAGCUAUGAGCCAACAGCAGGGAGAGGGGGCUUUCAGCAGCUGCCAAACACGACAUUUCUGGACAGGCCACCUCACCCUCGGCAGGGGACAUCUGGAGAGCAGCCUUUUAUCUGUCAGCCUCUGCACGUCUGGCUACCUGCAAGGGGCCUGGAGCCC